RNAcentral lists this long non-coding RNA (915 nucleotides) under Phascolarctos cinereus (koala). RNAcentral's name for it is "lncRNA (ENSPCIG00000036096.1)". The record is from RNAcentral. Lineage: Eukaryota; Metazoa; Chordata; Mammalia; Diprotodontia; Phascolarctidae.
UUUAAAAAAAAAAAAAGCGAACCCAGAACAAAGACAGGACAUUGACAAGAGCUAUACUGGGAUCCCAAGCAGUUCCAAGAAUAACUUGCCCUUUCUGUACCUUCCCUUCAAGUUCCAGAAAGCUCUCAAGGUUGUUUGUUUGCCAGAAGGAUGUGCAUGUUCGUGUUUAGUUUUUCAAGUGAUAAAACGGGAAGGGGGGGGGGUUCCAAAGAAGGGCUAGCACUGGACCUUGCAAACAUUAAUAAAUAUUUGUCUAACUGAAUUGAAAUGCUUGUCUAGCCCACCCUCUGGGAGAAGCGCGGCGCCAAUGCGUGAUGUGAAUUUUGAAGCCAAGUUGACUCUGGUAUUAGAUAAACUUUCUGAUCCCAGUUCCUCCUCCCUGUGGCUUUCCACUUCGGCAAGGAAGGGACGAGUGGGGACUGUGAGGAGGGGAAGGGGGGCGGAGAAGGAGAUGGGGGUGUGUGUGUGUGGGGGGGAGUCCUAGCGCCGCGCAGGCGCUUUCCCCACCACCUCUUACCAUCACCCCCCCGCUCCCAAUCCCCUGUCGGGGCUCGGAGCCUCAGCUCCUGUGGGACGCCAAUGCACUUGUAAAGGGAGGGCUGGAGGCAGACACAAAGCCUGGGCCCUCCCCCUCCGUGUCCUCCUCCUCCUCUCUGCUCGGAAGUCCUGCCCUGGUGCUGCGCUGGUGCCAGUCCAGGGCCGAGGCUCUCCUUCUGUCCCACACACCCCCAGCCCAGACCUCUCGACCUGCAGCGAGGGCAGUGCAAGCCUUUGAAAUUUUUCGGAGCUCCCAAGCGGCAGCCUUUCAGAAGUUCUGGGGGAAGCUCAACUUACAACAGCCUCAAAAGGUCCGUAACAUUAUCAAAAGGAGGAGGGGAGGAGGUUCAGGACUUUAAGAUUUUUAAAAAUUAGUUG